GAGCCCUUUAUAUAUUUCGACACCCAUCUCUUCCCCACUAUGCUCAAAGCCCUCUAUAAAUAGAAGUUAGUGCUAUUAGGUGUGGUUAGGAUGAUCUCCUCGAGCAUUCUCCAUCGAUGAAGAUGCGAUAGAAGAUGCUCCCAUCGUGGUGAUACUUCUGCUCGAUGGAGGAGUGCUCUCCCAACCCUCUGGAUGGAUGCUGGGAGCUCAAGAGGGGUGUGUUGUCACACACCCGCCUUGGAAUGGGAGGUGUUUAGAAAGUCUCUACCAAUGGAUGGCAGGAAGAGGAGAGUAGGAGAGACGGGGUAGAAGUAUACCAACUAUGAGAACAA
This 332-nucleotide long non-coding RNA is filed under the name Elaeis guineensis (African oil palm). RNAcentral describes it as "long non-coding RNA (EGUI_LNC017819)". Lineage: Eukaryota; Viridiplantae; Streptophyta; Magnoliopsida; Arecales; Arecaceae. The record is from RNAcentral.